UACGGAGGGUGCAAGCGUUAAUCGGAAUUACUGGGCGUAAAGCGUGCGCAGGCGGUGAUGUAAGGCAGAUGUGAAAUCCCCGGGCUCAACCUGGGAACUGCAUUUGUGACUGCACGGCUGGAGUGCGGCAGAGGGGGAUGGAAUUCCGCGUGUAGCAGUGAAAUGCGUAGAUAUGCGGAGGAACACCGAUGGCGAAGGCAAUCCCCUGGGCCUGCACUGACGCUCAUGCACGAAAGCGUGGGGAGCAAACAGG
RNAcentral lists this ribosomal RNA (253 nucleotides) under uncultured bacterium. RNAcentral's name for it is "partial 16S ribosomal RNA". It matches the Rfam family "Bacterial small subunit ribosomal RNA", at positions 524 to 776 of the family's 1533-position model. The record is from RNAcentral.